Homo sapiens (human) is the source of this 395-nucleotide long non-coding RNA. Ensembl annotates it as DLGAP1 antisense RNA 2. Its record names the gene DLGAP1-AS2. The record is from Ensembl. NCBI's taxonomy places the organism in Eukaryota, Metazoa, Chordata, Mammalia, Primates, Hominidae.
ACAUCUGUACGUUGCAAUCUGUGGAUCAGCUACGAGAUUAUGUGAUGCAACAAAAUUCAAAUAUGAAAACCAUCUCGGAGGCCGGGCGCGGUGGCUCACGCCUUUAAUCCCAGCACUUUGGGAGGCCGAGGUGGGUGGAUCAUUUGAGGUCAGAAGUUCAAGACCAGCCUGGCCAACACGGUGAAACCCUGUCUCUACUAAAAAUACAAAAAUUAACUGGGCGUGGUGGCACAUGCCUGUAAUCCCAGCUACUCGGGAGGCUGAGGCAGGAGAAUUGCUUGAACCUGGGAGGCGGAGGUUGCAGUGAGCCGAGAUCACGCCAUUGUUCUCCAGCCUGGGCAACAAGAGCAAAACUCUGUCUCAAAAAUAAAAUAAAAAAUUGCUUUAAAAAAUAA